Molecule: ribosomal RNA, 484 nt
Filed under: uncultured bacterium
Lineage: Bacteria
Description: partial 16S ribosomal RNA
Rfam family: Bacterial small subunit ribosomal RNA
Source: RNAcentral
AUUGAACGCUGGCGGCAUGCUUUACACAUGCAAGUCGAACGGCAGCGCGGGCUUCGGCCUGGCGGCGAGUGGCGAACGGGUGAGUAAUGCAUCGGAACGUGCCCAGUAGUGGGGGAUAGCCCGGCGAAAGCCGGAUUAAUACCGCAUACGACCUGAGGGUGAAAGCGGGGGACCGAAAGGCCUCGCGCUAUUGGAGCGGCCGAUGUCGGAUUAGCUAGUUGGUGGGGUAAAGGCUUACCAAGGCGACGAUCCGUAGCUGGUCUGAGAGGACGACCAGCCACACGGGGACUGAGACACGGCCCAGACUCCUACGGGAGGCAGCAGUGGGGAAUUUUGGACAGUGGGGGCAACCCUGAUCCAGCCAUGCCGCGUGCGGGAAGAAGGCCUUCGGGUUGUAAACCGCUUUUGUUCGGGAAGAAAUCCUCUGGGCUAAUACCCCGGGGGGAUGACGGUACCGGAAGAAUAAGCACCGGCUAACUACGUG